UGAGGGGCAUCUGGUCAGGAUGCCUCCUGGACGCCUCCCUGGUGAGGAGUUCAGGUCCCACCGGGAGGAGGGGAAAACCGGGACACGCUGGAGGGACGAUGUUCCUCUGCUGGCCUGGAAACGACUUGGGAUUCACAGGGAGGAUCUGGAACAAGAGGCUGGGGAGGGAAGACUGGGCCUCCCUUCUGAAGCUGCUACCCCGACCCAACCCGGAUAAGAGGAAGAAAAGGGAUGGAUGGAUGGAUGGACAGUUCAAUCACACAUAUUCCAAACAGUAUGCUCAAUUAUUUAAAGUAGAUUAAAAAGUAUUUGUAAACACUAAAGUUUAUAUUUCUACCCAUAUUUGGACUCUAUUGAUUUCAAUUCAUUUUAAGUGCAUUUAUUAGCAGUUUAAUCCUUUUCUUAAUCCAAACCACUAACCCUGGAAAAGUAAAGUUUGCUGCAACAUUACCAGGCCUUCGGGCUCACCGGUCUGCAGAAGGUUAGUGAAUGUACUGCUAAAGGUUCUGAACAGGCAACACAAACAAGAAUACACACACACACUCACACACACUUUGUCCAACUGUUAGCUCUGUGCCAGCAGUGAGUCAGAGGCAGCAACCAGGAUCACACAAAGAGUCUGUGUUGAUUUAGAGACAACGCCCUCCUGUGAGCAGCCCAAACACACCUCAGUCUCAGCGGAGACGGACGCGGCGCUGCCGCCGUUGACACAGCAGCUGGAUUCCAAGGCCGGGGAGAAGAGGCAUAGGGUUUCCUGAAACCGCUCAAACAGGAACAGGAAACGGAUGUUUGUUGUCAAGUCCUCUUACAUGUGUGAGGAAAGCUGGCCCCACUUCUCACUUUCAGGUGUGAGAUUUCUGAGGACUGUUCUGCUUUUUCAGCCCGCAGGAUCUCAAUGACUUUCUUUACUUAGUUUUCGCUCCGUCCUUGGUGGAUGUACUGCUGCGUUUUGAGCCAUUGUCGUGUUUCUAGGUCCAGUUCUGCUUCAGCGUUAAUGUUUUUGGGUUAUGGUGGAUUCUGUGAUGGAAAGCUGGUCAGGUCCGGAUCCAACGCUACAUUUCCAAACCCUGGCUCUUCCACCUCCAACCACAGCUGGUCUGAAGUUCUUUACCUGGAAUGCCUCUGUCCUGGUGCCAGAUAAUUCAGAUUUAGACUCAUAACUCCAGAAGUCUUUGUCUGUUUGUGUGUUUCUUGAAGAACAAAGGUUUUCUAGUUUAAAACUUUUUAUGAAGGUCAAACUUGUUGAUUCGUUUUUAAACAGUGGAUACAUUUUUGCAUCCACAGUUGCAAGACGUUGUUGUAGGUCCAUGGUGACAUUAUUGGGUUUCUGGAAACUGUUGUUAGCAUCUUGCAGCCAGCUUUGCUCAUGGAUUUACAUCAACAACAUCUCAACCAACAUUUUCAAUCUGUGAUGAGAUCGUCGUACUUGGUGGGAUGGCGUUUCAAUAUGGCCGCUCCUCACAGCAACAAUAGUAAACUUUGGUGGAUUAAAGUUUAUUUUAUGAUGCACAAGUCUAAAAUCAGUGUUAGAUUUAGCGCCUGCAACACUAAACUGAGCAAAUUAAAACAGGCGUUUGCUGAUAGAAAGCAAAGCUCAGCGAUGUUUGGAAGAGAAAUUGUGGACAAAAUGUCUUUUUGGGCGUCACCAAGUUUAAACAAAUCUUUAUUUUAUCAAUACAUAUCAAGGCAGUUUCGUCCCACUGUGGAUUUGAGUUUAUCACCAACACUGUAGGGCACAGAUGGCAUGUUUUUCAUGUUUUUGGUAUUUUUGCCAAAGUUGUGGCAGAUCUACCGUCAUUCCCUCUGUUUCUGUCUGUCAAGGCGGUCAGAUGGUUGUCUGAACUGGAACAAACCCACGUCGUCUAUUUAUGUUAAGUUUGAGUCAAACCCAGGAGGCAACAAACAGCGACUAUGAAAGAGGCGUCUUAUUCUUGCGUCUGAUGGUUACACACCAGAGGAGGGUUACAGUACAGAACUCAGGGAGCGUAGAGUACAUUGCAUUUCCACAGGAAGUGCAGAAACCCCGCUGGUUUCCUGUUGACUUCUGUGGUGGCGCAGCUGCCAGUAAACAAGUCGUAGACGCACGUAUCUAAUGUCCCUGCAACUGAUUAGCUUUUAAAAUGCAGAACAAAUAGGCGGAAGUUCGGUUCAGUCCUGAUAGUCGGGUUGUUUCUCUGACCUUUAAAUUCCUCCGUGAACUCUUUGUCAGAGAGUUUUUACUGUUCAGAUGGAACCAAUAAUUAUGGAAAGAAAAUAAAAUCUGUGUAUGUGAAGAGAAUCAGUCUGAUGGAGUUCAACAGGGCCGUGUGCUCGGAUCCAUCCUUUUUACUUCUAUAUAGGUUUUUCCUCUGUAAUUUCAAAAUAAAAACAUGAUCUCGAAAAAAAGACCAAACAAAUUAUAGCAUCAAAUGUCCAAAAUGCUGCAUGGAAAGUUUUUACUGUUACAAUUUCAGGUUAGAUUACUUUAAUUUGAGUUUUUCUUCCCUGACAGCUUUCAAGCCAAAAGCAGUAUUUGAAACGCUUCUCCUUCCAUCUAUUUGCUUUACAACUGGUAGAAUUAAACUCGUUUCCUUUUCCAGAACUUCUCUGAAUAUAAUUUUAUGAUAUUAUACUUUAUGAUCAUCCAUUUAAAAUGGAUAUCUGUUACAUGAAUUUAGAAGUCGUUUCAUGUAAAUCGCAGCUGUUUUAUGUAUGUAAACGAUUUCAACAGAGCAAAAUGUGGGGAUUUCUCAAGAUUAAUAUCUGUGUCUUUCAUUUUUGAGUAAAUAUCCGACGUAGAGUUGUGGUUUUGAGGGUUGUGCACUUGAAACUGUUGCUUAGCAGAUUGAGAAAACUUUUCCCCCUCUAAGAUGUAUAAUUGUUUGUAGUUUAAAAGUGAAUCCUUUAUUUCUGGUGUUAUUUUACGUACAGCACGGACUUCCGUCCCAGUUGGGUGCGUAAUAUGUUUAUUAUCAAAGCCUAAAUAGUUUGGAUUCUGGCUGCUGACUGCUGGACUGGAAGGUUUACUGUUUAAACUGGGAAUCGAGGUUUGUUUUUUUCCUUCUCAUAAUCUAUUUUUGUACCAAACUGAAAACAGAGGCUGGUAUCGACUUGAGGCCAAUGUGCUGGGUGUUUGCUCUCCUCUGGAGUCUGGAUAGACACCUAGAGCUAGAGCACAUAGAAAUGGCUAUUAUCAAUGGUCAAGUAAGGCAAAAGAACCAUAACUGCACAAAAGGCUUGUGUAUCCCGGACGGGAUGAUUUAGAGCUUGUAUAUUUUUCAGUAGGUGAAAUGUGGAGACCGUUAUCCGGAGGAAAAUGUCUGGAAUGUCAGCUGAUGUCUGCUGGACUGGCAGGUUUUCAGUACAAACUGGGGUCCCUGCGAUUAUUUUUUCCGUCUGGCAGCAUCUACAGACUAAAUAAUGCCAAUGUUACCACAAUGUGAUUCAAUUUUAUUAAAAAUUAUGAUUUUCGUGUUCUGAAACUGCAAGAAAGGGAGGUUAUAAAGUUUUUUUCCUGUCCUUGAAACCCACAAACGUCUAACUCUGUUUCCUUCCUUUGUUACACUUUUAUCCCCAUUCAAGGCAAAGAGCCACUGGUUUUUCAUACUUCUGUUUUUUAGAAGAAAGUUGAUAUGAUAGAGAAGUAUGUUGUAGUUCAGACUGGUAAUUUUCAGAGAUAAACCUCAGUUGAAGGAUUACCAGCUGAGCUUGUAAACACACUUUCUAAUGAGUGUUUUCUCUCCUGAAGCGUUUUUAUCGAGUUUAUCAGGAUAUUUUUGCUGGUUUGUAACAUUUGCUGUGUUUCUGUUACAAAUGUGCACAAAACGUUUGACAUUAAAAACCUCUCCACAAUUUCACAGUUGAGGUGUCUCCAUUAAAUAAGAAAUGUAAUUAAAAUCACGUGGUAAUUCUUUAAAAGUCAUGGCUGAGACAGACGUAACGACUAACGUGAGAUUUGUUCAAGCAUCAGAAGAGACGCUGGCGUCUUGUUGAAGCAUCGAAACGAGAAGCCGUCUGUUCCUGGCAGUGUUUAAAUGCAGCGUUUUUGGGGAAUUGUUAGUGAUUUUAUAGAAGAGCGAUGGAUUCAACUCUUUUGAAUGACAAACUCAACUAUUGAAUAAUUGUGUGAUGUUGUGGAGACAAACGUUGGGCGUUUCCUGAAGAUCUAGUUUUAUAUUUGAAACCAUAAAACAGGUAAUGGAAAGGCAGUCAGCAGGAUUAACUGGCAGGAGAAAAGCCAGUUUAUUUGUCAUUUGUCACCACUACGGUUAUUAUUUGAUUAAAUAUGUUUUCUCAACGGCUUUCUGCUCCACGUUUGACUAAAUAAAUCACUGCUGCACUUGGAGCCACUCUGGAAAAUAAAAGCUUUGCUUGCUUUGUGUGUGCCUUUAAAAACAACAUCAUUUUUUCCAGGAACUGCAUCUUUUGACUUCUGUUAAACAUUGUAAUUACCAUAACUAACGGUAAUUACAAAGGAUGCAGCCUUUCGUCGAUGAUUCAUAAAUUUGUCCAAUCGUCCAACCUUAGUGGAGACGACUGCGAAUUGUAUAAAGACAGACAAUUACAAAUAAGAGCGUUGCUCUUGCUGUUCACAAACUGGCAUACAAACUCAUAUAACACGAUAAAAAUGUUUCCAUUGCUGUUUUGCGAAAUACACCAACUCCCAAAUGGUUGUAAAAUUACCUCAUCGUAGCGUUUCAUCGGAGAACGUGAGUUUUCUUAAAAUUGGUUUGUUACCAUUAAGCAAAUUUAUUUUCAUAAUUCCAAUUUGCGUGAUUUUAUGCUCAAUAGAAGAAAUGCUAAUGGUGAUUUUCCUUGGUGCUUUUGUACGUUUCAGCUGCUGGUGUGGAUGGCAGCACUGCAACGGAAAACCUGGAGACAAACACAUCCGUUUCUUUACAGAGUUGUGAUAGGAAACAUUAAUCAAACUCUGAUAAACAGUAGCAGCUAAAACCUUUGAAUCGCUGCAGAUCCAUCAUGUCGAAGGCCAGGUGUUUGCUUUAUGACCAGUUCUCCAGCAUAAUUAACUCUUCUUACAUGUAAAACUAACUUAAAGAACCUAAAUACAGCAUAAGUGUAUUCAUGUUAGUUUCUGCAGUGGUGCCAUAAUUUCUCCUUAAAGCAAAUGAUCAGGUGUUCAGAUUAUUCAUCAUAGUUCAGUUUUUGAAUCAAGAGUUUGUAAAUGAGAUGAUAUGUUGGUUUAAACUCUGAUAAACAUCAUAAAAUCUACCAUGCAGGAUAAAACCUUUAACCAACCAACACAGCCGAACAGAUGAACCAAUCGAAGCCCGUUUUGAUGGUUCCUUUGGAUUUUUGAUCCGAUCAAAACGAGUUUCGGAUCCCGGCGCUCCCAGCCCGUCAGACAGCAGGCACAGGGGGAUUCUGGGAAUAAUCCCAACAAUCAGUAAUCUGUGGAUGUGAAUGCAACAAGGAGAGGAAGAGGAGAAAUCUUCAUAGGAUCCGCGUUUGUUUCGUCAUAAUCACCGACGUGAUAAAACGUUGAAAUAGUCGGGUUUCCUGUGGGAUUAGAAAGGAUCGGGUUUGUUGUGUCUAAAGAAGCUAAAUAACUUUAUAAAAAGCCACUUUCACAUCGCGUCUGUUGGCUCUUCAUCACAAAUUAUUGAGGAAAUUUCCAGCUGUGGUCAGAGGCUGCAGUCCUGCAGGCAGCAGGGCUGCUGCUAUUUAUAUCACCACUGAUUACAUUUGGAUUUUAACGCGACUAACAGAUACAGUGGGAUAUCCGAGGGUCAAAGGUGGCGGCAGAUGGUGGCGCAUUUAAAGUUUGGGAUUGUGACUUUGUUAAGAUUAUAGAGAUAAAAACAACUGGCCAAGUGAGGAAGAGGAGGAGGAGGAGGGACCAUCCUGACGGAUUAAAAUCCUCCAGCAGGGGAGUAGAGAUGAAGAUGAAGCUCAUUGUUGAAAACUGAGGAAGAGUCUUUGUUCGUUAGCAGCAGCUGAGACUCGCUCCGUUUGGGAGAGGAUGGUCCGGUUCUGGAGCGGACCGGACCCCUGAUCCCACCGGCACUAAACCCUCCGGAGAGAGGAUCCGUCUGGGAUCCAGACCAGCCGUAAGCAGAGCUUCACUUCAUCAUCAGUUAUGAAUUAUUCCAGCUGAAGAUGUGAAGCAUCAUUUCACCUGGAAGUGAGCUGGAAGAGUUUCAGAGUAAAACGAUCCGAACUGAAGCCAUCCAGUCCAGCUGAUAGCAGUCGGACCAAACAACCACAAAUAUGUGCUGAAAACCUUCAGGUGGGUCCAGUGGGUCAUGAAAACCAGCCAGAAUCUCACGCAGUAGAACCAAACACCUGGAACAGCUGGUCCAGUUCACUGCAAACAGGUUCUCAAUUAAUAUUUACUUUUUAUUUUGGCUCCAUGUUCACAUCCUGAAACGACGGAUUCUCCGCUACGCUGACAGUGUAAAUAAAAACACUUUUAACACCAAAGUUUUUAAAUUGUCUUUGACUGUUAGUGAAGUUCAGAAGGUUUAUAAUCGGAUUAAAAAGUGUUGAAGUGACUCUGCUCAGACUUACAGAGGAAGUAGAAACUAUUUCAGCUGCUAGAAACCCUGACUGGGUUUGUCUCUGCCGUCACGUUCCUGAGCCUUUGAGCCAGGCAGCGGUUCCCUUGGACCCGCCUGCUCAGCACUCAGUCACAACUUACUGCGGCUACGGAGUAUUUCAGUAACCAGAUAAGAAUAAAACAGCUACAUUCUGCAGAUUCAAACACUUACGCCUUUUCUGAAACAGUUUCAGAAAAUUCCUCUUUUAAAUAAGAAAAUAAAGAUUUUAUUGUGUAAAAUGCAGUAACAUCAUUCCUUCAGGGAACAUUUCACAAUUUGUAGCAAAGAAUACAUCUGUAGCUAAAUACUUCUAACAUGUGAAAGUUCAGCUGUUGGUUACUAGUUUUUGGAUUAACUGAUUAAUAAAAGUUGCUUAAUACAUUUUUACUUUUUACUGAAUUUGAACUGAGUGAAGCUAAAACUGCAGGAGUUAAUUUUUUUAUUUUAAAUGCAAAAUGUAAAUAUUUUUUGUUAGUUUUGGUUUAAAGUGUAAUUAACCCCCUGCUGAAAGAUUAGCCCCGCCCCCUGACAAAAUUUAAAUUCCAGCAAAGUGGGCGGAGCCAGUAUACUUUGCCAUGAGGAGUGCUAAUGUCGCGUCAGCAGUGAGUUCUGCUGCGAGCGUUUCCCGGUUCCUAAACUCUGCAGUCAGUCUGAUAGUCACCUGUUCAACACCGUACCUUCAAAAAUAGUCAGAGCAGAAGAGACACUGUCCACUCUGUCCACUCUGUCCACUCUGUCCACAUUGCAAAUCAAUCACACAUUUGUAAAGCUAUUGAUCAAUUCAGCGCAAUACACCCGACUCGCCACCAGGGGCUGUUUGUCUGCGUGAGAUUGUUUUCUACCCAAACAAAUAGGGAAAUUCAGCGGAGGCAAGUAAAGCCUGGCGGGAGGCAAGUAAAGCCUGGCGGGAGGCAAGUAAAGCCUGGUGGGAGGCAAAUACAGCCUGGUGGGGAGGCCAGUAAAGCCUGGCGGGGAGGCCAGUAAAGCCUGGCGGGGAGGCCAGUAAAGCCUGGCGGGGAGGCCAGUAAAGCCUGGCGGGGAGGCCAGUAAAGCCUGGUGGGGAGGCAAAUACAGCCUGGUGGGGAGGCCAGUAAAGCCUGGCGGGGAGGCAAGUAAAGCCCAGGAAACACUGGGAGUUAGUUACACUUAAAUUACGGCUCUGACUUCAUUGUUCUAUUUUGAAGAAAAGCCAUUCUCCUGAAGAUUUAAUUGCUUAUUAUUAAUGAUCGAUUAAUCAUUUGCUCUAGUUCAGACAUUUACAGUCUUAUUCCUCAUUUUAUCCCUGAGGAAAUCUGUUUGCUAUCCAAGGAAAACUUGAUUUUUGUGUUAGUCUACUGUGUAAGAACUUUCUUAAUAGUAUUUCCUUCUUCCUCUCAGCCCCAGAAACCCGCCUGUCUUUGCCUGAAGGACGUUCCAGACUGUCAGGAACAUUCCUGCCCCAUUCCAGAGCCAGGCAACUCCCUGGGAUGUUGCAGCUGCAGCAGCAAGGUAAGAGUGAACCAUCCUCCUGCUGAACCAACCGGUUCCUGAUCGCCUGCAGCAUGUGGAAGGAGAACUCAGCUCUUUGUCUGCAGCCGGUUAAACCUCUGAUCAUGUUUGCUUCCAGAGUUUUCUGUAGAUUCGGCGUCAGAUUCUUUCAAAGGGCGCGACCCAGAGUCUACCCUGUGAGUUUAGCCUUCAAUGAGGCGGAGUUUUGAUUAAAAUUACGUUUUAGUCGUAAACAUCUGGAAAGCUGUUUGUGUUUUAUUGAAACUCUCCAUGUUUACAGCAGCUGAAGCUGCUCUGUAGGUCAACAACAUUUUAUAACUAAAUUACUACACAAGCUGUAAAGAUUUGUGUUCACAACUCUGCAGCUGGAGGCAACAUAAUGCAUGUGUGUGAAUUUAUCUUCCUGUGUAAGAAACUUCCUAAUGAAUCAGUGAGAAUAAUAAUAGUUUUUAGUUUUUAGCUUCAUUUUUACUGUUUAGAGUUCAGUUCAAAUCUGAGUUGCUGCUACAGAGACCAGCAAAUUGAGCUUUAACAUGUUUUUAUGUCGCAGUCAUAAACUUCUGUCUUUUACUGAGAUUUUAUAAGUUCGACCAAAACAAAGUCAUUCAUUCACUACAUGCUUUAGUUUUCAGCUCCUCUGUAGAAACGUUGAACCUUCUUCCACUGCGACUAUUUGUAUAUUUUUACUCCAGAUUUAUAAUCUACAUUGUGUUGAUUUGUGUCAUAAAAUCCCAAUAAAACAUGUUUUCAGUUUA
Long non-coding RNA from Xiphophorus couchianus (Monterrey platyfish), 8779 nucleotides. RefSeq lists it as uncharacterized. The record is from RefSeq and is a predicted model, not a curated record. The transcript has 2 exons. Lineage: Eukaryota; Metazoa; Chordata; Actinopteri; Cyprinodontiformes; Poeciliidae.